Molecule: long non-coding RNA, 453 nt
Organism: Grus americana (Whooping crane)
Lineage: Eukaryota; Metazoa; Chordata; Aves; Gruiformes; Gruidae
Exons: 3
Source: RefSeq, a predicted model, not a curated record
GAGGGGGUCUGAUGCUCCCCUUCUUCCAGGCUUCACUGGUCUGUCACUUCAGCUUCACGUGGCAGGCUAAUGUGACUGUUCCCCCAGCUUUCUUCACCAUCGACUAUCGUGACGAACUGAGUUGUUGCAUCAAAGGAAAUCCCAGUCUGAUAAGAAGUGAUAACAUGGACCACCGCCAUCGCCCUCAGCGCCCCGGAGGGAGAAGCUAGAGAUGCCUUCAGGAGAGCAGGAGGAGCUGCAAAAUCUGGGGACAGAGCCCCACCUUGUGGAAGCAACCUCAAGCCCUGCUCGCCAGAGGCAUUCGUGGGGUGGCUUGUGAGCUUGGACCAGGUGAUCCUUGAGGUCCCUUCCAACCUGGUAUUCUAUGACCUUGUGCCCCACACUGUGCCUGCUGCCACACCGGUUAGUCUAAUAAAAGGUUUUAUCUCAGUGUCAGUCACAGCACAACAUCGU